Molecule: ribosomal RNA, 481 nt
Filed under: Gremmenia infestans
Lineage: Eukaryota; Fungi; Ascomycota; Leotiomycetes; Helotiales; Hamatocanthoscyphaceae
Description: SSU rRNA
Rfam family: Eukaryotic small subunit ribosomal RNA
Source: RNAcentral
CUGUGAAACUGCGAAUGGCUCAUUAAAUCAGUUAUCGUUUAUUUGAUAGUACCUUACUACUUGGAUAACCGUGGUAAUUCUAGAGCUAAUACAUGCUAAAAACCUCGACUUCGGGAGGGGUGUAUUUAUUAGAUAAAAAACCAAUGCCCUCCGGGGCUCCUUGGUGAUUCAUAAUAACUUAACGAAUCGCAUGGCCUUGUGCCGGCGAUGGUUCAUUCAAAUUUCUGCCCUAUCAACUUUCGAUGGUAGGAUAGUGGCCUACCAUGGUUUCAACGGGUAACGGGGAAUUAGGGUUCUAUUCCGGAGAGGGAGCCUGAGAAACGGCUACCACAUCCAAGGAAGGCAGCAGGCGCGCAAAUUACCCAAUCCCGACACGGGGAGGUAGUGACAAUAAAUACUGAUACAGGGCUCUUUUGGGUCUUGUAAUUGGAAUGAGUACAAUUUAAAUCCCUUAACGAGGAACAAUUGGAGGGCAAGUCUG